CCUUUGCUAAGUUUAACCCUGU
Molecule: microRNA, 22 nt
Filed under: Callorhinchus milii (elephant shark)
Lineage: Eukaryota; Metazoa; Chordata; Chondrichthyes; Chimaeriformes; Callorhinchidae
Description: eshark_NOVEL_103
Source: RNAcentral